UGGGGAAUUUUGGACAAUGGGCGAAAGCCUGAUCCAGCAAUGCCGCGUGUGUGAAGAAGGCCUUCGGGUUGUAAAGCACUUUUGUCCGGAAAGAAAUCCUUGGCUCUAAUACAGUCGGGGGAUGACGGUACCGGAAGAAUAAGCACCGGCUAACUACGUGCCAGCAGCCGCGGUAAUACGUAGGGUGCAAGCGUUAAUCGGAAUUACUGGGCGUAAAGCGUGCGCAGGCGGUUUGCUAAGACCGAUGUGAAAUCCCCGGGCUCAACCUGGGAACUGCAUUGGUGACUGGCAGGCUAGAGUAUGGCAGAGGGGGGUAGAAUUCCACGUGUAGCAGUGAAAUGCGUAGAGAUGUGGAGGAAUACCGAUGGCGAAGGCAGCCCCCUGGGCCAAUACUGACGCUCAUGCACGAAAGCGUGGGGAGCAAACAGGAUUAGAUACCCUGGUAGUCCAGCGCCCUAAACGAUGUCAACUAGUUGUUGGGGAUUCAUUUCCUUAGUAACGUAGCUAACGCGUGAAGUUGACCGCCUGGGGAGUACGGUCGCAAGAUUAAAACUCAAAUGAA
RNAcentral lists this ribosomal RNA (562 nucleotides) under uncultured bacterium. RNAcentral describes it as "partial 16S ribosomal RNA". It matches the Rfam family "Bacterial small subunit ribosomal RNA", at positions 355 to 909 of the family's 1533-position model. The record is from RNAcentral.